AGUGAACGCUGGCGGUAGGCCUAACACAUGCCAGUCGAACGACAGCACAGUAAGAGCUUGCUCUUACGGGUGGCGAGUGGCGGACGGGUGAGGAAUACAUCGGAAUCUACUUUUUCGUGGGGGAUAACGUAGGGAAACUUACGCUAAUACCGCAUACGACCUACGGGUGAAAGCAGGGGAUCUUCGGACCUUGCGCGAUUGAAUGAGCCGAUGUCGGAUUAGCUAGUUGGCGGGGUAAAGGCCCACCAAGGCGACGAUCCGUAGCUGGUCUGAGAGGAUGAUCAGCCACACUGGAACUGAGACACGGUCCAGACUCCUACGGGAGGCAGCAGUGGGGAAUAUUGGACAAUGGGCGCAAGCCUGAUCCAGCCAUACCGCGUGGGUGAAGAAGGCCUUCGGGUUGUAAAGCCCUUUUGUUGGGAAAGAAAAGCAGCAGGUUAAUACCCCGCUGUUCUGACGGUACCCAAAGAAUAAGCACCGGCUAACUUCGUG
Molecule: ribosomal RNA, 492 nt
Filed under: uncultured bacterium
Lineage: Bacteria
Description: partial 16S ribosomal RNA
Rfam family: Bacterial small subunit ribosomal RNA
Source: RNAcentral